RNAcentral lists this ribosomal RNA (673 nucleotides) under uncultured bacterium. RNAcentral describes it as "bacterial SSU rRNA". It matches the Rfam family "Bacterial small subunit ribosomal RNA", at positions 138 to 807 of the family's 1533-position model. The record is from RNAcentral.
GGGGGAUAAGCGGAAGAAAUUCCGUCUAAUACCGCAUAAUACAAUUUGGAGACAUCUCCGGGUUGUCAAAGGAGUGAUCCGGCAGAGGAUGGACAUGCGGCGCAUUAGCUAGUCGGCGGGGUAACGGCCCACCGAGGCUACGAUGCGUAGGGGUUCUGAGAGGAAGGUCCCCCACACUGGUACUGAGACACGGACCAGACUCCUACGGGAGGCAGCAGUGAGGAAUAUUGGUCAAUGGGCGGAAGCCUGAACCAGCCAAGUCGCGUGAGGGAAGACGGUCCUAUGGAUUGUAAACCUCUUUUGCAGGGGAGCAAGGCGCGGUACGUGUACCGCGAAGGAGAGUACCCUGAGAAAAAGCAUCGGCUAACUCCGUGCCAGCAGCCGCGGUAAUACGGAGGAUGCGAGCGUUAUCCGGAUUUAUUGGGUUUAAAGGGUGCGCAGGCGGACUGUUAAGUCAGCGGUAAAAUGUCGGUGCUCAACACCGGCCGGCCGUUGAAACUGGCAGCCUUGAGUGAGCGAGAAGUAUGCGGAAUGCGUGGUGUAGCGGUGAAAUGCAUAGAUAUCACGCAGAACUCCGAUUGCGAAGGCAGCAUACCGGCGCUCAACUGACGCUCAGGCACGAAAGCGUGGGUAUCGAACAGGCUUAGAUACCCUGGUAGUCCACGCAGUAAAC